GUCAGCACCCCGCACUCUCUGUGACGGGGCUUCAUGCCUCUAACUUUAGUUAGUUCGUACCCGCCUAAGCCUAACAGCUACGUUUUCUGGAUCAUAAUACCCACGAAUGCGACGCUAGUUUGUGGCUCUAUU
RNAcentral lists this small RNA (132 nucleotides) under Planktothrix serta PCC 8927. RNAcentral's name for it is "HEARO". It matches the Rfam family "HNH endonuclease-associated RNA and ORF (HEARO) RNA", at positions 1 to 132 of the family's 211-position model. Lineage: Bacteria; Bacillati; Cyanobacteriota; Cyanophyceae; Oscillatoriales; Microcoleaceae. The record is from RNAcentral.